GUGGGGAAUAUUGGACAAUGGGCGAAAGCCUGAUCCAGCCAUGCCGCGUGUGUGAAGAAGGUCUUCGGAUUGUAAAGCACUUUAAGUUGGGAGGAAGGGCAUUAACCUAAUACGUUAGUGUUUUGACGUUACCAACAGAAUAAGCACCGGCUAACUUCGUGCCAGCAGCCGCGGUAAUACGAAGGGUGCAAGCGUUAAUCGGAAUUACUGGGCGUAAAGCGCGCGUAGGUGGUUCAGCAAGUUGAAGGUGAAAUCCCCGGGCUCAACCUGGGAACUGCCUGCAAAACUACUGAGCUAGAGUACGGUAGAGGGUAGUGGAAUUUCCUGUGUAGCGGUGAAAUGCGUAGAUAUAGGAAGGAACACCAGUGGCGAAGGCGACUACCUGGACUGAUACUGACACUGAGGUGCGAAAGCGUGGGGAGCAAACAGGAUUAGAUACCCCGGUAGUCC
This 450-nucleotide ribosomal RNA is filed under the name uncultured bacterium. RNAcentral's name for it is "bacterial SSU rRNA". It matches the Rfam family "Bacterial small subunit ribosomal RNA", at positions 354 to 796 of the family's 1533-position model. The record is from RNAcentral.